This 863-nucleotide long non-coding RNA is filed under the name Equus asinus (donkey). RNAcentral describes it as "lncRNA (ENSEASG00005032906.1)". The record is from RNAcentral. Lineage: Eukaryota; Metazoa; Chordata; Mammalia; Perissodactyla; Equidae.
CGCGCUCAGCGAAUGCCCGGCUCGCGCCGCCUCCCGCUCUCGCUCAGUCAGUGGCGCCGAAGGCUCCGUUAAGCGGCGGUGGCGGUGGUUCCUGUUUCCGUUUCUUCCUCUCCCUUCAGUCGGGAGUAGCAUCCUCCACCCAGCCACCCCUCCCGCUCCCCCGGCGCCGGGCAGCUGCGGCUGAGGGCUGGGGCGGCCGCAGCGGCGGCGACUGGGGACCGGCGGAGACCGCCUCUGCAGCCGCCUCGGCUUGUCAAUGAGCUGCAGGAAGUGACUUCCACAUCCUAAGUGAAUUGUCCAAACACCCAUCUUGAGAUGCAUCCAUCCAGAGUCGCUUUUGCUGGGAAAAACUUAACUUCUCUGGUGAUUUAAGAAGAGGAAACCGAAACAACAUGACUUGCCCAAUGACAGAGCGUUAACAGGAAAAAUGGGGUUUGAACUCGGGCAGCCCGUCUCCAGAACCUGGGCUUCAAAUGACUAGAUCACACCGGCUCUCUAGCGAUGUGCGCUAAGGUGAAAGCCAGUGCUCUCAGGGACUGCCCAGGUUACCAGUGACCACGGACCACUGCUUUGGAUUUUUACCGAAACUCUCCCCUUAUCUCUGACACUGCAGAUGACUCUUCUUCAAACACUCCUGCCUUGACACUUGAUAUUUUUUUUCUUUUUCUCUGAUUAUAUGUUGGUUCCCCUUUGUGGAUCUUUUUACCAAAUAUUUGUUGGACACCUACUAAAACCCAGGCAUUGUUCAAAGUGCUGAAGAUACUGCAGUGAACACGGGUCAAGAAUCCCUGUUCUUCUGCCUGCCCUCUUAAAAAAAUACGAGCUAAGUACUGCAAAACAGUUAACAUCUGCUUAAUUUCGGU